CGCGUAGGUGGUAGUGCAAGUCUGGGGUGGAAUCUUAGGGCUUAACCCUAAAACUGCCUUGGAAACUGCAUUACUUGAGUCAGUGAGGGGAGGGUAGAAUUCCUGGUGUAGCGGUGAAAUGCGUAGAUAUCAGGAGGAAGGCCUGUGGCGAAGGCGGCCCUCUGGCGCUGAACUGACACUGAGGCGCGAAAGCGUGGGUAGCAAACAGGAUUAGAUACCCUGGUAGUCCACGCCCUAAACGGUGGGUACUAGGUGUAGGGCUCGUAAGGGUUCUGUGCCGAAGGGAAACCAUUAAGUACCCCGCCUGGGGAGUACGGCCGCAAGGUUGAAA
RNAcentral lists this ribosomal RNA (331 nucleotides) under uncultured bacterium. Its description in RNAcentral is "bacterial SSU rRNA". It matches the Rfam family "Bacterial small subunit ribosomal RNA", at positions 568 to 899 of the family's 1533-position model. The record is from RNAcentral.